RNAcentral lists this ribosomal RNA (1035 nucleotides) under Haloferax sp. RNAcentral's name for it is "bacterial SSU rRNA". It matches the Rfam family "Archaeal small subunit ribosomal RNA", at positions 83 to 1116 of the family's 1478-position model. The record is from RNAcentral. Lineage: Archaea; Methanobacteriati; Methanobacteriota; Halobacteria; Halobacteriales; Haloferacaceae.
ACUAUCCAACGGUGCGCGCUCAAACUACCCUACAGAGAACGAUAACCUCGGGAAACUGAGGCUAAUAGUUCAUACGGGAGUCAUGCUGGAAUGCCGACUCCCCGAAACGCUCAGGCGCUGUAGGAUGUGGCUGCGGCCGAUUAGGUAGACGGUGGGGUAACGGCCCACCGUGCCGAUAAUCGGUACGGGUUGUGAGAGCAAGAGCCCGGAGACGGAAUCUGAGACAAGAUUCCGGGCCCUACGGGGCGCAGCAGGCGCGAAACCUUUACACUGCACGCAAGUGCGAUAAGGGGACCCCAAGUGCGAGGGCAUAUAGUCCUCGCUUUUCACGACUGUAAGGCGGUCGUGGAAUAAGAGCUGGGCAAGACCGGUGCCAGCCGCCGCGGUAAUACCGGCAGCUCAAGUGAUGACCGAUAUUAUUGGGCCUAAAGCGUCCGUAGCCGGCCACGAAGGUUCAUCGGGAAAUCCGCCAGCUCAACUGGCGGGCGUCCGGUGAAAACCACGUGGCUUGGGACCGGAAGGCUCGAGGGGUACGUCCGGGGUAGGAGUGAAAUCCCGUAAUCCUGGACGGACCACCGAUGGCGAAAGCACCUCGAGAAGACGGAUCCGACGGUGAGGGACGAAAGCUAGGGUCUCGAACCGGAUUAGAUACCCGGGUAGUCCUAGCUGUAAACGAUGCUCGCUAGGUGUGACACAGGCUACGAGCCUGUGUUGUGCCGUAGGGAAGCCGAGAAGCGAGCCGCCUGGGAAGUACGUCCGCAAGGAUGAAACUUAAAGGAAUUGGCGGGGGAGCACUACAACCGGAGGAGCCUGCGGUUUAAUUGGACUCAACGCCGGACAUCUCACCAGCUCCGACUACAGUGAUGACGAUCAGGUUGAUGACCUUAUCACGACGCUUUAGAGAGGAAGUGCAUGGCCGCCGUCAGCUCGUACCGUGAGGCGUCCUGUUAAGUCAGGCAACGAGCGAGACCCGCACUUCUAUUGCCAGCACCAUUUUCAACUGGGUGGGGUACAUUUAAAAGAAUGCCGCUGCUA